GAGUUUGAUCGUGGCUCAGAACGAACGCUGGCGGCAGGCUUAAUACAUGCAAGUCGAGCGCGUAGCAAUACGAGCGGCAGACGGGUGAGUAACGCGUGGGAAUCUACCCAGCUCUACGGAAUAACCCAGGGAAACUUGGGCUAAUACCGUAUACGUCCGAUAGGAGAAAGAUUUAUCGGAGUUGGAUGAGCCCGCGUUGGAUUAGCUAGUUGGUGGGGUAAUGGCCUACCAAGGCGACGAUCCAGAGCUGGUCUGAGAGGAUGAUCAGCCACACUGGGACUGAGACACGGCCCAGACUCCUACGGGAGGCAGCAGUAGGGAAUAUUGGACAAUGGGCGAAAGCCUGAUCCAGCCAUGCCGCGUGAGUGAUGAAGGCCCUAGGGUUGUAAAGCUCUUUCACCGGUGAAGAUAAUGACGGUAACCGGAGAAGAAGCCCCGGCUAACUUCGUGCCAGCAGCCGCCGCCGUAAC
RNAcentral lists this ribosomal RNA (470 nucleotides) under uncultured Alphaproteobacteria bacterium. RNAcentral describes it as "bacterial SSU rRNA". It matches the Rfam family "Bacterial small subunit ribosomal RNA", at positions 9 to 524 of the family's 1533-position model. Lineage: Bacteria; Pseudomonadati; Pseudomonadota; Alphaproteobacteria. The record is from RNAcentral.